AGAGUUUGAUCCUGGCUCAGAUUGAACGCUGGCGGCAUGCUUUACACAUGCAAGUCGAGCGGCAGCGCGGGGGCAACCCUGGCGGCGAGCGGCGGACGGGUGAGUAAUGCAUCGGAACGUAUCCCGUAGUGGGGGACAACCCAGCGAAAGCUGGGCUAAUACCGCAUACGCUCUACGGAGGAAAGUGGGGGACUCGCAAGGGCCUCACGCUAGGGGAGCGGCCGAUGUCCGAUUAGCUGGUUGGUGAGGUAAAGGCUUACCAAGGCGACGAUCGGUAGCUGGUCUGAGAGGAUGAUCAGCCACACUGGGACUGAGACACGGCCCAGACUCCUACGGGAGGCAGCAGUGGGGAAUUUUGGACAAUGGGGGCAACCCUGAUCCAGCCAUGCCGCGUGCGGGAAGAAGGCCUUCGGGUUGUAAACCGCUUUUGUUCGGGAAGAAAAGGCGUCCACUAAUAGUGGGCGUUCUUGACGGUACCGGAAGAAUAAGCACCGGCUAACUACGUGCCAGCAGCCGCGGUAAUACGUAGGGUGCGAGCGUUAAUCGGAAUUACUGGGCGUAAAGCGUGCGCAGGCGGUGAGUUAAGUCUGAUGUGAAAGCCCCGGGCUCAACCUGGGAAUGGCAUUGGAAACUGGCUCGCUGGAGUGUGGCAGAGGGGGGUGGAAUUCCGCGUGUAGCAGUGAAAUGCGUAGAGAUGCGGAGGAACACCGAUGGCGAAGGCAGCCCCCUGGGCCAACACUGACGCUCAGGCACGAAAGCGUGGGGAGCAAACAGGAUUAGAUACCCCCGUAGUCC
This 795-nucleotide ribosomal RNA is filed under the name uncultured bacterium. RNAcentral's name for it is "bacterial SSU rRNA". It matches the Rfam family "Bacterial small subunit ribosomal RNA", at positions 8 to 796 of the family's 1533-position model. The record is from RNAcentral.